GGUCUUGCCACCACUACAGCUUCCCCUGUCAUUUCUACAAGUUCUCCAGCAUUGCCCACCACAGCAGCUCCACGUACAGUUGUGGGUCCAGUGUUUAUCUUUGUCCGACUUGUGUUCCGCACCAACAACACCAUCCCCAGUGAGAGCGAUGUUCUCGCAAAGGGCAGUCCUUUCUUGAAUGGUGAUGAAAUCCAGCUGAAUGAUACCGUGAGGGUGCAGAAUCUCACAUAUGAGCGACUAACAGAUAAUUCCUUCGCUUUGAGACUGGCCUACAAGAUCAAUGACGUGAGCUUUC
Molecule: long non-coding RNA, 295 nt
Organism: Anguilla anguilla (European eel)
Lineage: Eukaryota; Metazoa; Chordata; Actinopteri; Anguilliformes; Anguillidae
Exons: 3
Source: RefSeq, a predicted model, not a curated record